Molecule: ribosomal RNA, 458 nt
Filed under: uncultured bacterium
Lineage: Bacteria
Description: partial 16S ribosomal RNA
Rfam family: Bacterial small subunit ribosomal RNA
Source: RNAcentral
CCUACGGGAGGCAGCAGUGAGGAAUAUUGGUCAAUGGGCGAGAGCCUGAACCAGCCAAGUCGCGUGAGGGAGUACUGCCCUAUGGGUUGUAAACCUCUUUUGUCGGGGAGCAAAAGCCGGACGUGUCCGGCUGUGAGAGUACCCGAAGAAAAAGCAUCGGCUAACUCCGUGCCAGCAGCCGCGGUAAUACGGAGGAUGCGAGCGUUAUCCGGAUUUAUUGGGUUUAAAGGGUGCGCAGGCGGAUUUUUAAGUCAGCGGUAAAAGCCCGGGGCUAAACCCCGGCCCGCCGUUGAAACUGGCAGUCUAGAGUUGGAGAGAAGUAUGCGGAAUGCGCGGUGUAGCGGUGAAAUGCAUAGAUAUCGCGCAGAACUCCGAUUGCGAAGGCAGCAUGCCGGCUCCACACUGACGCUGAGGCACGAAAGCGUGGGUAUCGAACAGGAUUAGAUACCCGAGUAGUC